AGACCAGAAUUCUUAUCCCAGACUCAUCUCUAGCCUGACUCCAUUACAAGCCAUAUGACCUUGAGGAAGUCAUUGAACCUCUUUGAACUUUUGCCUCCUCCUCGCUAGGGAAGGGAUCACUUCAGCUCCUUCCUUGGGAGACUGCUUCGAUCCGUGAAUGUGGGUGACAAACCAGAGGAGAUGAGCUGAUCCUGAGCAGAUGUUUGGAACAACAUCAUGAGGAUGAGGGGAACAUUGCAGAAACUGCCAAGAAGGUCUGCCUCCUCUGGAUCUGCAGCACCGACUUGCUAGGAGCCGUGAAGAAAGCCUUGUUUCAAAACACGUUUGUGAAACUGGACUGAGGGGAAGACGUGGAUGUCUUCCUGCAUAUGGUCAGAUAAGUUUGAAGGCCACUAGCCUAGAGCACAAGAAGACAUCCA
This is a long non-coding RNA of Mustela erminea (ermine), 419 nucleotides long. RefSeq lists it as uncharacterized. The transcript has 3 exons. The record is from RefSeq and is a predicted model, not a curated record. NCBI's taxonomy places the organism in Eukaryota, Metazoa, Chordata, Mammalia, Carnivora, Mustelidae.